This 531-nucleotide ribosomal RNA is filed under the name Triticum aestivum (bread wheat). RNAcentral's name for it is "partial small subunit ribosomal RNA". The record is from RNAcentral. Lineage: Eukaryota; Viridiplantae; Streptophyta; Magnoliopsida; Poales; Poaceae.
AUGAGGGAAGCCUCGAGGAGGUGCGUCCGCCAGAGCACCUGGUCCAUGGGGCUGACGUUGCCGAUCUUGUGGCCCCUGUUCUGGAUCCUGACGAUGGCGGCGACGCUGGACAUGAGGAUGACGGAGAGCGUGCAGGCGAGGGUCUUGACGGUGGCGGGGCCCUUGCCGGUCUUGACCUGCUCCACGCCCCGCAUCGCCAGCUCCCGCAGCGGCCCGAUCUUGACCAUGAGCAGCAGCGCCACCGCGCCCUCCGCGAACAGCACCAGGAACAGCAGCGGGAUCAUGGCCCCCUUUUCCGCCUCUCCGACCGACCGACCGACCGGAUGCCGGGUCUCCUUGGAUUCCGCCCGGGGACUUAAGGAACGACCCCUUCGCUCCACGGCGCGAGGAUUAAUUGGCGGAGGUCGGUCCGCCGCGCGAGUACGGCGGGCGGUCGUUUUCCGGCGGAGGAAAAAGAUGGCGAAUUUGGUCGGCGGGGAGAUUCAGUUCCAAGGCGGACAGGAACCCACCACCUUUCCUUCGCCAAUCUGA